AUUGAACGCUGGCGGCAGGCCUAACACAUGCAAGUCGAGCGAGCGGCGGACGGGUGAGUAAUGCCUAGGAAUCUGCCUGGUAGUGGGGGAUAACGUCCGGAAACGGUAGCUAAUACCGCAUACCAUCGGAUGUGCCCAGAUGGGAUUAGCUUGUAGGUGAGGUAACGGCUCACCUAGGCGACGAUCCCUAGCUGGUCUGAGAGGAUGACCAGCCACACUGGAACUGAGACACGGUCCAGACUCCUACGGGAGGCAGCAGUGGGGAAUAUUGCACAAUGGGCGCAAGCCUGAUGCAGCCAUACCGCGUGGGUGAAGAAGGCCUUCGGGUUGUAAAGCCCUUUUGUUGGGAAAGCGGUACCCAAAGAAUAAGCACCGGCUAACUUCGUGCCAGCAGCCGCGGUAAUUC
RNAcentral lists this ribosomal RNA (406 nucleotides) under uncultured bacterium. RNAcentral's name for it is "partial 16S ribosomal RNA". It matches the Rfam family "Bacterial small subunit ribosomal RNA", at positions 30 to 526 of the family's 1533-position model. The record is from RNAcentral.